AUUGAACGCUGGCGGAAUGCUUUACACAUGCAAGUCGAACGGCAGCACGGACUUCGGUCUGGUGGCGAGUGGCGAACGGGUGAGUAAUACAUCGGAACGUGCCCAGUCGUGGGGGAUAACGUAGCGAAAGCUACGCUAAUACCGCAUACGAUCUAAGGAUGAAAGCGGGGGAUCGCAAGACCUCGCGCGAUUGGAGCGGCCGAUGGCAGAUUAGGUAGUUGGUGGGGUAAAGGCUCACCAAGCCGACGAUCUGUAGCUGGUCUGAGAGGACGACCAGCCACACUGGGACUGAGACACGGCCCAGACUCCUACGGGAGGCUGCAGUGGGGAAUCUUGCGCAAUGAGCGAAAGCUUGACGCAGCAACGCCGCGUGAGGGAAGACGGCCUUCGGGUUGUAAACCUCUUUCAGGGAAGAGUAAGGCUCGUGAGUUAAGAGCUCACCGGGUUGAAGGUAUUCCCAGAAGAAGCACCGGCUAACUACGUGCCAGCCGCCGCGGUAA
RNAcentral lists this ribosomal RNA (500 nucleotides) under uncultured bacterium. Its description in RNAcentral is "partial 16S ribosomal RNA". It matches the Rfam family "Bacterial small subunit ribosomal RNA", at positions 29 to 523 of the family's 1533-position model. The record is from RNAcentral.